RNAcentral lists this ribosomal RNA (1343 nucleotides) under uncultured bacterium. RNAcentral's name for it is "16S ribosomal RNA". It matches the Rfam family "Bacterial small subunit ribosomal RNA", at positions 28 to 1378 of the family's 1533-position model. The record is from RNAcentral.
GACGAACGCUGGCGGCGUGCUUAACACAUGCAUUUCGAACGGAAAGGCCCUGCUUUUGUGGGGUGCUCGAGUGGCGAACGGGUGAGUAACACGUGAGUAACCUGCCCUUGACUUUGGGAUAACUUCAGGAAACUGGGGCUAAUACCGGAUAGGAGCUCCUGCUGCAUGGUGGGGGUUGGAAAGUUCCGGCGGUUGGGGAUGGACUCGCGGCUUAUCAGCUUGUUGGUGGGGUAGUGGCUUACCAAGGCUUUGACGGGUAGCCGGCCUGAGAGGGUGACCGGCCACAUUGGGACUGAGAUACGGCCCAGACUCCUACGGGAGGCAGCAGUGGGGAAUAUUGCACAAUGGGCGGAAGCCUGAUGCAGCAACGCCGCGUGCGGGAUGACGGCCUUCGGGUUGUAAACCGCUUUCGCCUGUGACGAAGCGUGAGUGACGGUAAUGGGUAAAGAAGCACCGGCUAACUACGUGCCAGCAGCCGCGGUGAUACGUAGGGUGCGAGCGUUGUCCGGAUUUAUUGGGCGUAAAGGGCUCGUAGGUGGUUGAUCGCGUCGGAAGUGUAAUCUUGGGGCUUAACCCUGAGCGUGCUUUCGAUACGGGUUGACUUGAGGAAGGUAGGGGAGAAUGGAAUUCCUGGUGGAGCGGUGGAAUGCGCAGAUAUCAGGAGGAACACCAGUGGCGAAGGCGGUUCUCUGGGCCUUUCCUGACGCUGAGGAGCGAAAGCGUGGGGAGCGAACAGGCUUAGAUACCCUGGUAGUCCACGCUGUAAACGGUGGGUACUAGGUGUGGGGUCCAUUCCACGGGUUCCGUGCCGUAGCUAACGCUUUAAGUACCCCGCCUGGGGAGUACGGCCGCAAGGCUAAAACUCAAAGGAAUUGACGGGGCCCCGCACAAGCGGCGGAGCAUGCGGAUUAAUUCGAUGCAACGCGUAGAACCUUACCUGGGUUUGACAUGGAUCGGGAGUGCUCAGAGAUGGGUGUGCCUCUUUUGGGGUCGGUUCACAGGUGGUGCAUGGCUGUCGUCAGCUCGUGUCGUGAGAUGUUGGGUUAAGUCCCGCAACGAGCGCAACCCUUGUUCACUGUUGCCAGCACGUUAUGGUGGGGACUCAGUGGAGACCGCCGGGGUCAACUCGGAGGAAGGUGGGGAUGACGUCAAGUCACCAUGCCCCUUAUGUCCAGGGCUUCACGCAUGCUACAAUGGCUGGUACAGAGAGUGGCGAGCCUGUGAGGGUGAGCGAAUCUCGGAAAGCCGGUCUCAGUUCGGAUUGGGGUCUGCAACUCGACCUCAUGAAGUCGGAGUCGCUAGUAAUCGCAGAUCAGCAACGCUGCGGUGAAUACGUUCCCGGG